AUUUGAUUAAACUCCGUCGAGCUAAAAUGGCAACGCUGUUAAAACGGAAGUUCGUCUGCAUUCAGCACCCUGCCAGUCUGCCACUCUGAUGCUGUUCUGAAGAGAGCGUGAUUGAAACAGAUUGUGGCUGAGUGACCGGCCUUUACAAUAUACAUUAACCAGUCGUGGGGAGAGGAGUAGUUUUACAAAGUAGAGUGAAAUUGAAUUAAUUGCUUAAAAAGUUCAUUGACGUUUGAAGGUGUGCCAACAUUGGGGUUCACCACCGCAUCCCGCGUGAAUUUGUCUACCCUUUUCAACAAGCAGUUGGUGACCAAACAGCAGUAAAGUUAGACGGUUGGCUGACUGCAAUUUCAUGAUGGAGAAUGCCACUAUGUCUUCAACAGUAUAUCUAACAGGGACUACAAAGUCAGAUCGGUGUGAAUGCCUAGUCGCCCCUAUGGCUGUCGAUGUGGAUCAAUUAUUAGAAAUAAACACUGUUGAUCAAUUACAGUGAAGAAGCGAAACAAUGAGACCUUUCAUCUCCAUGGGAAUUGAACUAACCACCGACCUUGUAAGUCUGUUCUAUGGAACACGAGCUGCGGACAUCGAGAAACUAAGUAUGUAGGUAGAGAACCCGUUGGCUUUUGUCAAACUUGCUGGUCUAGAAGGAAACGUACCUCACUUGGAACACAUCUUUGUCUACAACCUCCAGCAAUAACAUUUCAACUUGGAAAGACUCGACGGCAUGAGCGAACUGAGCGUUUGUCAUCUAAUCACGGAUAGCUGUGAUGUUGAUUUUUUAAAACCAAAACUUUGUCGUUGGUUGAUCCCUUAUUUACGUCGACUGGAUACCCUUACAGCCUGAUAGUAUCAAGGAGUUAUUACGAGGCUUACUUACGUAUCAGGCUAGCCCGAUUGUCGUCGACGCAAACUUUCCAAGCCCUGGAAUGCAUAUGCCUGCCAGAAGAACGACCAACUUGUAGUGGACAUGACAUUUUUCGAUUGCUAGCCUGAGCGACCACCUGGCUCCAAAGCAGAUUCCCUACUUACCCAUUUACACCAUCAGUUGGAUUAUCUCCAAUCUCAUUUAGAGGCAGCUAAUGUUUUAUUGUUGUCUACGGCCGAGUUGCACCAAAUUGGCAACGCCAACGCCACUCAUCUUCCACCAAAGAACGUUUGGCGUUUUCUGCUGUCUGCACUCUGCUGUUCAUUUGCAAAUUUUCUCACAGGACUUCGAAAGGUGUAAUGAGAAUUUGCAGUUCGUCGCGUCAAACUUUGAAGAAAAUUUAUUGAAAUUGUAGAUUUAAUUUAUAGAUCUAGAAAAGUGGGAAGGACAUUCCAUUACCAGCACGUGAUCGAUUCUGGUCGACGGUUCGCCAGAUCUCCGUGGAUUACAACAAGUGGUUCCUAUUAAUGUCUUACCUCGGUAUUGUGAUGAAGUGAGAAUUGAUGGCAAUUGAAGUAAACCUUAUCUACUUACCUGUGUGGGAAGACUAUCAAACAGCAGGUGGUUGGUGUUUGUUGGAGCAGUCUCUGGUAAAGCAAUCUAAUGUGCUUGCUGUUCUCAGCUUUUCAUGGUGCUGACAUUUUGGCAUGGUUUCACUUGAUUUGUGUCUGCUCAGUGUUUGCGUGUAUUUUAUUGAUAAGUAUUUUUGGGUUGAUAUUCAGAGAUAACCAAAAAUGUUGAGAACAUAGAAGACCAUGUCCUUCCAAAGAAAUCUGUCAUUCUGUCCUCCAACCCACUAAAUGUGGUAUGGUAUCAUUUCAGAUUUGUUAAGUUAGCAUUCCCUUCUUGCAUCCUAAGAAAGGUUACCAUUUUAUUGUAACAUAGGCAUGUUUUAUUUUACCUAACUUCCGUUCUUGCCUCUUGGAAUGUGUUCAGGCAUGUUUAUUGUUCAUAUUCUCCAGACAGGUAUGCCCUCUGGGUAUGCCUUGCAUAAUGUAGCGCUUAUGUCCUCCGGCCGCCAGGUGGCGCGAGCGUCGCGUCAAAACUCAGACAUUUUCACAUUUUCCAGCCACCGACUGAAAAUGUCUUCCAAAUUCAUCAUGGUCAUAAAAACUAAUUGGCAAUGCGUAAUCCAUCCUCCUGUAAUUUCCUUUUGGCGAAAUAAUCUGAUCACGUGGGCCAAAACUGCUGUCCAUUUUGCCGAAUGUCGUCUAGGCGUCUAUUAUUACCUGUACCUGCUGUACGAGUUUGCUGUACGUCUCGUCCCGUGAAGAAGCACUUCAGACCAAUUUAAGGAUCAGACUGCUUUGCUGAUAUAUUGCAGAAAUUGAGAACUCAGCCAAGUCGGAGCUACAUUGCUGUCGUGGGACCACAUGCUACUAAAUUAGUUAAAGAUUUAAUAAAAAAAAAGUACUUGACUUGAAAUUGUGUCUCAUGUUGCCGAAAAUAUGUCUUCUCCUGCUUGCUCUACAUAGCAUCCUAUGAACAGAUAACAGCAUAGUGGACAAGGUUUCGAUAGCCAUUUGACGUUGACGGUGUCAAUGGAGAUGCUGAAUUUCAUAAUUCAACUCUGCCAAACAAUUUUUCACAUGGCCUGAAUCUGAAGAUUAAUUUAAUUUGAUUUUGUUUCUAGAUUAUGCUCCCAUAGCUGCUGUCUAAUUUGAUAUGUUGUUGCAGCCUGCUGGUAAAAGACUUUUUGCAUAAAUUGAACUGUGACUGUA
This 2646-nucleotide long non-coding RNA is filed under the name Daphnia pulicaria. Its description in RNAcentral is "uncharacterized LOC124339146". Lineage: Eukaryota; Metazoa; Arthropoda; Branchiopoda; Diplostraca; Daphniidae. The record is from RNAcentral.